CAGAGCACAAGUGUCAGUGCUGAAAUAAUAGAAAUUGGCACUUCUUCAAGUUGAGGAAAUCUUCAAGGUGAAAGUAGAUAUUUAGACUCCAAGGGACUGCCACUUGUGGGGACAUGGAGGACCUGGUGCCUGACAAGCCUCCUGCUGCCUGCAGGCUCUGUUCUAGCAGGCCCCAUGGCUCCAGUCCAGUGUCUUCCCUCCAAGCAACAGGCAGAGCCCCUCUACAUCUGGGUCUGCCUUUCCAGUACAAGCCUUCGGGGGAAGGGGCACCUUGUGCCUCUUCUGCACUCACAAAUACGGGAAGCAAACAUAUGCCAGCAUUAGGGCUGGGGUGAAGAAGAGUUCUACUAUGGAGAAGUCCAAAACUACAAAGAGAAAACAAGAGGGAGCAAACCAAAAACCCCUUCAUAGCAACCCCUGCCUUUGAGCUGGUGGAAGUGUCUGAUGGCUGGGACUCAGGCUCCGCACCUCUGUGGGUGACUCAUCUCCCAAUCUCCCAGGCAGGGGAAAUCUCUGCCAUGAUCAGCUCCAUCCCUCUUCCUGCACCUCAGUGUGCCUUUAGUCAUCGCUAGCCUUAAUUUGCUGCUCCUUCCCGUCUGUGUUAAUAAGGCCCCCAGCU
RNAcentral lists this long non-coding RNA (619 nucleotides) under Anas platyrhynchos (mallard). RNAcentral describes it as "lncRNA (ENSAPLG00020009109.1)". Lineage: Eukaryota; Metazoa; Chordata; Aves; Anseriformes; Anatidae. The record is from RNAcentral.